CCUACGGGCGGCAGCAGUGAGGAAUAUUGGUCAAUGGACGAGAGUCUGAACCAGCCAAGUAGCGUGAAGGAUGACUGCCCUAUGGGUUGUAAACUUCUUUUAUAUGGGAAUAAAAUGUUCCACGUGUGGGAUUUUGUAUGUACCAUAUGAAUAAGGAUCGGCUAACUCCGUGCCAGCAGCCGCGGUAAUACGGAGGAUCCGAGCGUUAUCCGGAUUUAUUGGGUUUAAAGGGUGCGUAGGUGGAUUGUUAAGUCAGGUGUGAAAGUUUGCGGCUCAACCGUAAAAUUGCAGUUGAAACUGGCAGUCUUGAGUACAGUAGAGGUGGGCGGAAUUCGUGGUGUAGCGGUGAAAUGCUUAGAUAUCACGAAGAACUCCGAUUGCGAAGGCAGUUCACUGGACUGCAACUGACACUGAGGCUCGAAAGUGUGGGUAUCAAACAGGAUUAGAUACCCGGGUAGUC
This 460-nucleotide ribosomal RNA is filed under the name uncultured bacterium. Its description in RNAcentral is "partial 16S ribosomal RNA". It matches the Rfam family "Bacterial small subunit ribosomal RNA", at positions 338 to 795 of the family's 1533-position model. The record is from RNAcentral.